ACCGCGGCGCUGGGGGUUCCUCCCGGCGAGACUGGCGGGGCUGCGGCGGCUAGGAGAGUGAUGCCAUGGAGCACAGUGGUGGAUAAGGAAGACAUGGUCUGGCCGUAACAAUUUUGAAAUCUAAUGAAGCAGAUUAAAAAGAUAAGUACUUACAAUAAAAGUGUGGAAAUUCUAACAAUAGGGGAAGUAUAGGGCAGUAUGUGAUCACUUGGCAGCCAAACUUCUUGCUUCCUAUGUAAGACUCUCACAGUCAGACUGGAGCUGCACAUCUCUGCCGCUGCACAACACAUGGAGAAUAGUCUGCUGUAUCCUAGCCUUGCCAAGCCCUUUCAGGACCCCAUGUCUUUACUGGAUUGCCUGUCCACUUCCCCACGCCCCCGACCCUCAUCCCCGCAUAUUAUUUUGUAACAUAUUUCUUCAUGGUAUCCCAGCUUUAAAGUCUUCAAUGAAACCUUUUAAACUCCUACAGUUAUUGUAUAUGUUGUGUUUCCACAUUUCUUUAUUUAGAUGCCUCUAAUAGCAAGAAAAGUUAUAUUGUAGUUUAUUAACUUAUUUACUGCAUCUCUCAAUAUCCUGAGCUCCUAAAGGAACUCCUGAAAGUUCCUCAGCACUUAGCGUGACAACUAGUACAUAGUACCUGCUGUAUUCUAUAAAUGUCCUUUAUGUGAGUAAGUCAGUGUAAAUGUUUUGGUGCAGCAUUAUACUUUGGUAAAAUAGUACUAUGUUAAUAUUACUAACAUUUACAUUUAUUCCUAAGAAAGGAAACCAUAAGAAUAAUUCAUGGUUAUAUUUUCUAGAGACUAGGCUUGUUUCGUCCAGUAUGGUACUCAAUAGCCAUAUAAAGCUAUUUACAUUUAAAUUAAUUAAGAUUAAAUACAAUUGAUAAUGUGGUCCUUCAGUUGCACUAGCCACAUUUCAGAUUCUCAGUAGUCACAUGUGCCUCAUGGCUAUCAUAUGGGAUAGUUUAGAAAAACAUCUUCGUCUUCACAGAAAGUUUUAUUGUACAGCUCUGGUCUAGACCUUUGAUGGGAUGCACAUUUGUUCAGACUCUGAGAUCAUAUAACUUAAAUAUCUCCACCUAGCAACCAUAUACUCUAACUACAUUUUCAGUUAUUUUGAAUGGGUAAUAAGCAUUUGAAUGGAGGAUAUUUCAGUGUUGGCUGAUAUCUGAUAUUAAGUAGAGCUUUAAUCAAUACAGUGCAUGCCUAGAAUAAUGGUAAGAAUCCCAAGUGGCUAUUUAAUAACAGAUGAGAGAUUCUUUUGAAGAGCAAGCUUUGUGUAGACUUGGGAAAUAGAAUUUCCAUUCUCUACAAAAUAUUGUAAUAGUUGUGUUUGUGUCUACAAACUUAAGUUGAAUUUUGAUAUGUAGAUGAUGGGGGAGGAUUGAUGGUGUCUUCAGCUGCACUCUGUACAUGAUUUGUGACACUAUCCUUAGACUCACUUUAAAAUAUGAAGGGCAAUAAAAUAUUGCCACAUUUAUAAUUUGAAUUGAUGGCUACCCUGAUAGCAUAUCAAGUGUGAUCUGGUAAAGUUCCUCCAUGAUAAAUUUUAAAAAAAUAAAAUUUGAAGCAUUUUUUCCUUGUCUGUCAAGAAAAUACAACUGUAAACUUUGAAAUACUUUUCCUGGUUCAACUAGGAAAAUAAAACUAAGUAACUACAAUUGGGUAUUGUCAAGCAAAUCAGUAUUCACUGUUUGUCACAUAGGGAAAUUACCAAGACAUAGUGUUAAUUGUGUCACUGACAUUAUCCUAUUGUAAUGAAGGAUUUAAAAAUUAUUUUAAUCCCAUAAUCAAAAAUGGUAGUGAACAUCCAAACAUAGCAAAUAUUAGUGCCUUAGGAAAACACUAUGAUUCAUGAGUAGAAGGAGAGGAAAAAGACCACUGAAAAAGAGGAAAGUAAUUAGAGCAGCAAAAAAUUAUAGACGAAGGAUAGUUAACAAUAACUCUACAGAGUUAAGGACAAGGAAAAUAAUGCAGAACCACUGGCUAUUACAGCAAAAAGGCUAUGCCUUUUACUUUAUUUAUUUAUUUAUUUAUUUUUAAAAAUAGAGAUGAGAUCUUGCUCUGUUGCCCAGGCUGGUUUCAAACUCCUGGCCUCAAGUGAUUCUCCCACCUUGGCCUCCUUAAGUUCUGAUUUUACAGGUGUGAGCCAUCGUGCCCAGCCAGGCUGUGACUUUUAACAGGGGAUUGUUUCUUUUUUUCCUGCCAUGGUUGCAAUAGAAGUCAGAUUGUAAGAGCAUAAAGAAGCCAUAUUAGUGUGGAGACAAAAGUGACUCCACCUUAAAUGCUAAUCUGCUAUAAUGAUUUUUGAGUAUCCUCAGUCCCAUGAAUGCCUCCUGAUUCCUACUUUAUUUACUGUCCCUAGAGAAAGAACAUGUCAAUCUUGAUGUUAUCCCACAGUUUACAGACUAUGAUGAAUAUAUAGCAUUGUUGCCUGUUCUGGAGGAUUGCCUUUAAUUAUCUUGCAUAGAGAGCACUUAUACCCUUUCACUGUAGUAUAUAAGCUCUGGGUUGGGAGGUAACAGGUUUAGAGAUCUACCUGUCUUGCUGCUGCCCAAGACCACACUUCCGUCUGUAAGUUACCUCCAUCACUGACAAACUGGAUUUUUCUACCUCAUUCUUUGAUUUCUCAGCUCCUCUGGCAUUUGGGGGGAACUUUGCAUAUAUGGUGGCCCUUUCACAGAACAGUCAGCAUUCUCCAGAGUAACAGAGAGAUUAUAGUAAUUGGCCCAUGUGAUUAUGGAGGCUGAGAAGUCCCAUGAUCUGCAAGCUGGAGAACCAUAGAAGUUGGUGGUGUAGUUCAGUCUGAGUUUGAAGGUCUGUGAACCAGGAGUGCUGAUGUCCGAGAGGAGGAGAAGAUGGCUGUUCAGCUCAAGCAGAAAGCUAAUUCACUGUUCUCUGCCUCUUUGUUUCAUUCAAGCCCUCAAGGGAUGGUAUAAUGCCUACCCAAAUGGGUGAGAGCGUCUUUUUUACUCAGUCUACCAAUUCAGAUACAAGUCUCUUCUGUAAACACCUUCACAGACAUACCCAGAAAUAAUGUUUUACCAGAUAUUUGGGCAUCCUUUAGCCCAGUCAAACUGACACAUAAAAUUAACUGUCAUAGAAGGACUACCUCGUUAGCAACUAAGAACAAUGGGACUUAGAACAAAGACCUCAUCAGGUAUUAAAUUGGAAGAAGAUACAUUAAUGAAAAGAAAUGUUAUGGUACUGUUGAAGAUGGAGGCAGCAAGACCCUCCGAGGCUAUAGAAAAAAUAGCGUAAUAAACCCAGAAAGGCUCUUCAAGAUAUCUAUGUUAGUGUUCUACCUAACACAGCAAUAAUUUCUUUGCAAAGCCCCUGGCAGAUUAUUUAGUUUUGCUUGGAUCCUUAAGGUGAUGAAGUGUUCCCUUUUUAGCAAGGUAAAUGAAUCUGUUUUUGGACAGAUGUAACUCUUAGAAAUUUCUUCCUUGUACUGCUAAAGCAAGGUCUGUUUCCCUGUAGCUUCCAUAUGGUUUCCUUAAGUGAUAAACAGACUGACUGUAAUAUAUCUUUCCUAUGACAGCCCUCCAAAUAUCUGAAGUAUGUCCCUCCUGUUUUCUUUUUUUAAGUUAAGCAUCCCAGAUACUUCAAUUUAUAUCUCCUCACAAGAUUGCCAGACCUCUUAAUAUUUUGGCUGCCCAAUCAGAAUAAAGUUGUUGAACUCUAGUUUGCCAGUGUCAAUUUUAAAAAGUAAUGUCCAGAAGGAAUUUUGUAUUUUGCAUGUAGUCUGACUGGAACAGAUAAGAGACAGUGAAAUUAAUUUUGUUAGAUAUUUUACACUUGUUAAUUGGACUCUUGGCCUAAACUGAACUGUAAUGAAUGUACCUGUCUGGUAUUUAUCUAAAUUGCCAUCAAACCAGGUUUAGUCUAUUCUGUAGCUGAAAAAAUUAAUUUUAUUUGAUAAAUUUUACCUUGUUCGUUUUGAUCCAUUCAUUCAUUUAUUCAUUCAUUGUUUCAACAAAUACUUUUUGAGGUCAGCAUUGUGGCAGUCUUCGUUAUGCCCUGAGAUUACCAGAAAGUACAGGUUAUUCCAAUUAGUUGAACAACUUGAGAUCAUUUUAAAAUGUAAAUCUAAUAUUCAACAUUGUUAUUUUUACAUCACCUGUCAUCUAUAAAUUUCAUAAACAUGAUUGUAUCUUUAUUCAGUUAAUAACAAGAUUAAAAAAUCAAGGACAUAUUGUGAUAAGCUGGUGAUUUUGAAUCAUCAGGAUUCUAGAUUUAAAAGUUUUUGGAGACAGAACAUUUAACGGUGUGAUUUAUUUAUUUUAUAGAAGAGAGUUAAUAUAUAACUUAGAGUUUGAUUGUCUUAAAUACCGUAUUUCUCUUUUUGUCCCAGGGGAAGAUCACAGAAUGCUGCCUUGCUUGUGGAAUUAUAGAAUUCAAAUCUAUCAGUUUUAUAGGGAGUAAUUUUUCAAGACUUACUCUUAAGGAAUUCAUACUGAUUCCUAAUAAUCAUCAUUUUCUUAAUCUAAAUCCUACAAAGCCAUUCAUUUAAUCAUUUGUUUUAGAAUGUUUCCUGCUUUCCUGUAUGUUUCUUUUUCUUCUUACUUUAAAGCAAGGUUUAAACAUCCCUUUUGAUAUUUUUAGGUUUUGUCGGGGUGUAGGGAGCAAGGUUAUUCUCACUGUGACCUUUGCCCUGCAGCAGUAAAGCAAUAACUAGCAUCAUUUCUGCUUUGUAUUGUUUUAUCAUUUCUACAUCAUGUUUGUAGGCUGACGAAUGAAGUCAAAUGCUUAUAAAUGCUUUGUAAACUAUAAAAUUCUCCAUUUAUAUAUAUUUCUGCCCCACUUAUUUCUCAUUAAUGUUACUUGUGAUUAUAUUGUCAGAAUUCCUUAGAGCCACAUUUUUGUGAAUAUUGUGCUGCAAAUAUAUUUAUUUGUUUGUAAGCACUAAGUAUUCUUUUGUUCCCAAGAAAACAAAUUCUAUAUGAGUCUUUUCUGGUUCUGUUUUUCUUUUGUUUCAAUCUCUUCACAAUAUUGUAUUUAGAGCCAGAUUUAUCAGCCCCAGGCAUCUCUUGCUUUCCUGUGUCUACUUCUUCACAGUAUAACUCUCAGGCAAAAUGACAAAAAGGCAAAUUCACAAAGGAACCAGUGAGUGUUCUUGUCAGUGCUUGGGUUCCAUUCUCAAAUAAGCUGAAAGUUCUUCUAUUUCAUCAACAGAAUGUGAUUUAAAGGGAUAUAUUGCCAGCUUGUAUCACUGCUAAACAGUGGUGUGUCACUGUAGAGCAAAUAGUCACAAGAAUACAUUCUCAGGAAAUAUACAGUUAUAUCUAUGCUUUCUGCCAAGCAAGGAGAAACGCAGACUGGCUCAAAUCUCCAGAAACGACUUGCAUCCUUCUUUAUUUCUUACACCUUUUCUUUUCUUCAUCUCCUAUUUCUUCUUUCCCCAUGUCCUCCUCCUGCUUUCACAAUUUCCUUCUCCUCCUUAUUCUCCUUCUCUUUCACCUCCCCGUCUUCUUCCUUACGCGUUGAUUAUGCCAGUAAGAUGAUAUCUUGUAAAGAAAUGGAAUACUUUUAGCAGAUGCCACACUAUAGCCACAGUAGUGACAUCUGGAAUUUGUCAAAAGCCACAGUUGGCAUCCCUAAAAUUCACCUGCCUGGAUUCUGUUCUGAGAAGAUUGUGUCUGCAAGAAAGUCUGGCCAAGUUCCUAAAAGAGGCAAAAUCAAGGAUAGAUGGCAUCUAUCCUAGUUCACGUGAAGGUUAAAAGCGUCUUCAGGUACUUAGAUACAUAGAUAUACAGGCUCUGUUAUUACAAACUUUCAAGGCAAUUCUUAUGUUCUUAUGUAUUUAUUUGCUUUUUGAAUCACAAAAUUUAUGCUUAUAUUUUAAGCAGAUGGAGUUUGUUUAUGAAGAAGUGAUUAUUGCUGAUACUCAUUAUUACACAUCAGAGUAGUUAUAUUUCUAUGUAAUUUUUUGCAUGGAGUAGGCAUUUGUGGUCUUGCUCUACAUCUGUUUGAUCAUAGCAAUUCCAGUUGAUUUCACAGGGUCAGCAAAUACACAGCACAUAAGCUAACACUCUUCCUUCUUGUACCCACAGUAGACCACUAAUCAAUUAUGGCGUUUGUCUUGCUAAGCCAGGAAACAGCUUCAGAAUCCUUCUCAAACAAUGUUUCAGACAGCUGCUAUUAAUAUGUCAGAGUUGGCACUUGAUGAGAAAUACAGUUGCCAUUCCAGAUUAAGGCCAACACCCCCCACCGCCCCAAAAAACAGCCUCAUAAAAAGACCUCUGAGCAGUGGCAUCAGAAAUCUAAGGGUCACUGAUGGAGUAUGACAGGAAUCUAAGACAGAGAGAGAUCCUAAUUUCCCAGGAGCCAGUAAUGCAGAGUGGAUAAUUCUGGUUUGGACUUAAGGUAGAUGUAGGAUGGAAGUAAAAAAGAAAACAUACAUUGGGACUGGGUCCUUAGAUCUAUAAAUUGUUUAUUUGGGUAGCCAUUACUCAGAUUUCUCUCAUUCUAUAGAGUGGUUUUUUAGAGUUUCACAGUGGUACCUAAUUGUGACAAUACGGGUCUUUCCUAUGAUUAGUGACCCAAUAGAAUAGUGAAAAGGAAAGUAUUUGUUUUUGUACAACAUAGAGGCAUGAGUGCCUUCUUUUAACCCAUUGAUUCCCACACUUUGAUCUUGAGAAACUUACUGUCUUAAACCUUCUGAAGACCUCCCAAAGGGCUUUUGUUUAUAUGGCUAUAACUUUCAAGAUUUAUCAUAUUUAAAUUAAAAUGGAAAAAUGUUAAAAUAGUUAUUGAAAAUGAAAAUAGUAAAUGCCUGUUUACUUAAAUAAUAUUUAAUCUCACAGAUCCCCUGAAAGAUUUUGGAGAAUUUCCUGAUUGGCACUUUGAAAACUGCUGCUGUAACCAAUUCUGUGAUGACUGCUGACUUGAUGUAAGGUGAAUGCAGAAAGUCUCCUGCUAGGACUCUCCCUGGCAUUGCCUCAUUCACAAAAAAUUUCAGACACUAUAUAUAUCAAUUCAGAUAAUUCAUUCAGUUAAAUGUUUAUUAAAUAUAUUUUCAAAUUGUUUAUUGAUAUAUAAUUAUUCUAUCAAGGACACAUAUAAAAUAAUUAGGUAUAGAAAAAUAUAAGAAAGAAAAGGAAAUCAAGAUUAGGAAAAAAUAACAAUGCAGAUAUUCAGACCAUAUAGUACUAUAAAGUUGGCUCAUUAUUUUGCUAAUGUGUUUACUGAGCACCUGUUCUAGACAUAGGAAAUGCAUGGAUGACUACAAUUGCCCCAGUUGUUAUCUCAUUGAGGUUACAUUAUAUUGUACUUGUAAAAUAUGCACCCCCACUCAUGGCUUUAGGCAAUACAAAUGAACAAAAACAAAAACCAGCCAAACAAAUAUAUCAGUUAAAAGAUCAUUGACCAAAAUGUUAAAUGGAGUACUCUGAGGAAGCAAAGAGUUUUGGAGAUAUGCAAAAUAAUUUUCUUAUAGUACAUUUCCUAAUUGACUUUAUAAAGCUGUUUCUUAUAGUCUUCAUUAAUGAAAGUUAAAGAGGCAUGAGAACAAAGUGCUGCUGAGAAUAUUAUAUCAGUUAACUUUUGCGAAAACAAAAGUAUAAUCCAUUUGUUGCCAAUAUUAUCAGACUGUGAUUCUAAAGUGAAACUACCUUUCUUUUUUACGUCCAUGUUUUCAUAGUAUAAGCCCCUCCUGGUCCAUUAAAAAUGUAGUACUGCCAACCUAAAGUUAGUACCAGGGCUUCACCUUAUACCAAGAGAGCUGAGAAAUGUUGGGGAGCACAGAUCAUUUGAUGCAUAGUGAAUACCUGAUAUAGCUGGUAGUUUGAAGUAGUAGCUCCUUAGAUGAUUUUUUUUUCCAGAAGGGGUAAGAAUGUUAUGUGUUAUAGAUGGAAUUCUGUCCUUCCAAAUGUAUAUGCUGAAGUCCUAACUCCCUGUACCUUAAAAUGUGACUGUAUUUGUAGAUAGCGUUUUUAAACAGUAAGUAGGUUAAAAUGAGGUCAUUAGGGUACUCUAAUCCAAUAUGCCUGUUGUCCUUAUAAAAAGGUGUGCUUAAGACACAGACACCUACAGAAGGAAGACCAUGUGAAAAUACAGGGAGAAGAAAGCUAUCUGUAAGCCAAGAAGUGAGUAAGGCCUCAGAAGAAAGCAAAGCCUGCCAACACCUGGAUCUUGGAUUCUGGCCUCCAGAAUCAUAAGAAAAUACGUUUCUGUUGUUUAAGCUACUUGGUCUGUGGUACUUGGUUACAGUAGCCCUAGCAAACUCAUAUGAUUCUGUGAUGAGGGGAAAGAACUGUUGAAAGGUGAGCAAUCAAAGAUACAAGGAAAAGGAAAAGGGAGGUGGAGGAGUGGUGGGGAUCAGAGCAAGAAAAUAUCGGGGCAGAAAAGUAUGGGGCAAAGUCAUAGAUAGGUGGUGUGUGUAUUAGUCGAUUCUUGCAUUGAUAUAAAGAACUGCUUGAGACUGAGUAAUUUAUAAAGAAAAGAGAUUUAAUUGGUCAGAGUUUUGCAGGCUGUACAGAAAGCAUGGCUUGAGAGGCCUCAGGAAACUUACAAGCAUGGCAGAGGUGAAGAGGAAGGAGGCCCAUCUCACAUGGCUAAAGCAGGGGGAAGAAAGAGGGAAAGGGGAGGUGCUAUGGACUUUUAAACAACCAGGUCUCUUGAGAACUUACUCACUACCACAAGAGUAUAAAGGGGGAAAUCUUCCUCCAUGAUCCAGUCACCUCCCACCAGGCCCCACCUCCAACACUGGGGAUUACAAUUCAACAUGAGAUUUGGGUGGGGACAAAAAUCCAAACCAUAUUAUUCCACCCCGGCCCCUCCCAAAUCCCUUGUCCUUCUCACAUUGCAAAAUACAAUCCUCCCUUCUCAACAGUCCCCUAAGUCUUAAUUCAUUUCAGCAUUAACUCAAAAGUCCACAAUCCAAAGUCUCAUCUGAGACAAGGCAUUCCCUUCUGUCUAUGAUCCUGUAAAAUUGAAAGCGAGUUAGUUACUUCCAGGACACAAUGGGAGUACAGGCAUUGGGUAUAUAUACCCACUCCAAGAGGGAGAAAUCAGCCAAAACGAAGGCACUACAGGCCCCAUGCAAGUCCAAUACCCAGAAGGGCAGUCAUUAAAUCUUAAAGCUCCGAAAUAAUCUCCUUUGGCUCCAUAUCUCACAUCCAGGCCACACUGAUACAAGGGGUGGACUCCCAAGGCCUUGGACAUCUCCACCUCUGUAGCUUUGCUGGGUACAGUCCCCUCAGCUGCUUUUACAGGAUGGUGUUGAGUGCCUGUGGCUUUUCCAGGCACAUAGUACAAGCUGUUGGUGGAUAUACCAUUCUGGGGUCUGGAGGACGGUGGCCCUCUUCUCACAGCUCCACUAGGCAGUGCCCAGUGGAGACUUUUGUGUGGGGCCUCCAACGCUACAUUUCUCCUCUGCACUGCUGUAGUAGAGAUUCUCCAUGAGGGUUCCAUCCAGGCAGCAGACUUCUGCCUGGAUAUUGAGGUGUUUUCAUAUAUUCUAUGAAAUCUGGGCAGAGGCUCCAAAGCCUUAACUCUUACCCUCUGUGCACCCACAGUCUUAGCACCACAUGGAAGCCACCAAGGCUUACAGCUUGCACCCUCUGAAGCAGCAGCCUGAUCCAUAUCUGGGGCCCUUUUAGCCAUGACUGGAGCUGGAGUGGCUGGGACACAGGGAGAAGUCUCCCAAGGUUGCUCAGGGCAGCAAGGCCAUAGCCUGGUCUACAAAACCAUUCUUUGUUCCUAGGCCUCUGGGCAUGUGAUGGGAGGGGCUGCCAUUAAGCUCUCUGAAAUGCCUUCCAGGCAUUUUCCCCAUUGUCUUGGCUACUAACAUUAGGCUCCUCUUUACUUUUGCAAAUUUCUGCAGCCAGCUUGAAUUACUCCCCUGAAAAUGGGUUUUUGUUUUCUACCACUUGGCCACAUUACAAAUUUUCAAAACGUUUAUGCUCUAUUUCCCUUUUAAAUAUAUGUUCCAAUUUCAGACCAUCUCUUUGCUCAUGAAUAUAAGCAUAUGCAGUUAGAAGCAGCCAGGAUACUUCUUGAACACUUUACUGCUUAGAAAUUUCUUCCACCAGAUACCCUAAAUCAUCUCUCUCAAGUUCAAAGUUCCACAGAUCCCUACAGCAGGGGCACAAUGCCACCAGUCUUUGCCACAGCAUAGCAAAAGUAACCUUUACUCCAGUUCUCGAUAAAUUUCUUAUCUCCAUCUGACACUACCUCAGCCUGGACUUCAUUGUUAACAACAAUUUAACAAGUCUCUAGGAAGUUCGAAACUUUCCCUCAUCUUCUUGUCUUCUUCUGAGCCCUUCAAAUUGUUCCAACAUCUGCCCAUUACCCAGUUCCAAAAUCGCUUCCACAUUUUCAGGUAUCUUUGUAGCAAUGCCCCACUUCUCUGGUACCAAUAUUCAGUAUUAGUCCAUUCUUGCUAUAAAGAACUACCUGAGACUGACUAAUUUAUAAAGAAAAGAGAUUUAAUUGGCUCAGAGUUCUGCAGGCUGUACCAGAAGCAUGGCUUGGGAGGCCUCAGGAAAUUCACAAGCAUGGCAGAAGGUGAAGAGGAAGGAGGCACGUCUCACGUGGCUGAAGCAGGGGGAAGAGAGAGGGAAGUGUGAGGUGCUACAGACUUUUAAACAACCAGAUCUUGUGAGAACUCACUCACUAUCAUGAGAAUAGCAAGGGGAAAAUCUAGCCCCAUGAUCAAAUCACCUUCCACCAGGCCCCGCCUCCAACACUGGGGAUUGCAAUUCAACAUGAGAUUUGGGUGGGGAUAUGAAUCCAAACCAUAUCAGUAUGGUGGGCCAAACAAUAGCAUCAGGCUGAGCAUGGUGGCUCAUGCCUGUAAUCACAGUACUUUCGGUGGCCAAGGUGAGUGGAUUGCUUGAACUCAGGAGUUUGAGACUAGCCUCAGCAACAUGGUGAAUCCUGUCUCUACAAAAAAUACAAAUAUUAGUGAAGUGUGAUGUUGUAUGCCUGUAGCCCCAGCUACUUGGGAGGCUGAGGUGGGAGGAUGGCUUGAGCCCAGGUGGCGGAGGUUGCAGUGAGCCAAGAUUGUCCCAUGCACUCCAGCCUGGAUGACGGAGCCAGAUCCUGUCUCAAAAAGAAAAAAAGCACCAAAAGACCUCCAUGUCAAAUUCCCAAAACUUGUGAUUUUUACCUUAUAUUAUAAAGGAUGGGAUAAAGUCAAGGCUCUGAGAGGAAAUGUUUAUCCUGGAUUAUCUGAGUCAGUCCUAAAUACAAUCACAUGUAUCCUUAUAAGGAAGGAGAGACAGUUGUGAGACAGACACAGAGAGGACAGAUACACAGAAGAGGAGAAGGUGAUAUGAUGUUGCCUCAAGCCAGAGAACACUGGGCACCCCCAGAAGCUGAAAGAGGCAAGGAAAGAAGAAAUUUCUGUUGUUUUAAGCCACCAAGUGUGUGGUCAUUUGUUACAGCAGCCACAGAGAACUAAUAUAGAUGGAUUGAGCUUGGAUAUCAGAAAAUAAAUUUCUUCCUUUCAGACAUGGGGUAGAAAAGUAAGGAUGUUCAUACACUGAUUAUCUUGGUGGAGGUGAUGGUGGUGAUAUUGUAGGUAAAGUAAUUACAGACUAUUCAUUUUGUAUGUAAUAAUGCAUCAAGAACUUUUCUGAUUUUUUAUUUGUUAGAAAACUCAGAGUUUAGACCAAAUCCUAAAUAUAAUAGAAAACAUUGAGUUUUUAAAAAAACUUUUGACCAUUUAUACCAACCAACUGUAAAGCUUCUUCUUUUAUAUCUUUCAGCAUUUAGUUAUAAAUAAUGAAUCAGGAAACAAAGGGCCAAUAAUGACAUAAUGAACUCCUUAAGGAAUGAUCUCCGUUCCAAGAUGACCGAAUAAGAACAGCUCCGGUGUGCAGCUCCCAGUGUGAUCGACACAGAAGACAGGUGAUGUCUGCAUUUCCAAUGGAAGCACCUGGUUCAUCUCACUGGGACUGGUUGGACAGUGGGUGCAGCCCAUGGAGGGUGAGCCAAAGCAGGUUGGGGUGUCACCUCACCUGGGAGGUGCAAGGGGUCGGGGGAUUCCCCUUUCAUAGCCAAGGGAAGUGGUGACAGACUGUUCCUGGAAAAACUGGACACUCCCGCCCAAAUACUGCACUUUUCCCAUGAUCUUAGCAACUGGCAGACCAGGAGAUGCCCUCCUGUGCCUGGCUUGGUGGGUACCGCCCCCAUGGAACCUUGCUCACUGUCAGUGCAGCAGUCUGAGAUCGACCUGCAAGGCAGCAGCCUGCUGGCGGGAGGGGAGUCUGCAAUUGCUGAGGCUUGACUAGGUAAACAAAGCUGCCAGGAAGUUCAAACUGGGUGGAGCCCACCACAGCUCAGUAAUGCCUACUGCCUCUGUAGACUCCACAUCUGUGGGCAGGGCAUAGCUGAACAAAAGGCAGCAGAAGCUUCUGCAGACUUCAACGUCCCUGUCUGACAGUUCUGAAGAGAGCAGUGGUUCUCCCAGCAGGGCAUUUGAGCUCUGAGAAUGGACAGAGUGCCUCCUCAAGUGGGUCCCUGACCCCCGUGUAGCCUAACUGGGAGACAUCUCCCAGUAGGGGCCAACAGAUACCUCAUGCAGACAGGUGCCCCUCUGGGAAGAAGCUUCCAGAGGAAGGAUCAGGCAGAAAUAUUUGCUGUUCUGUAAUAUUUGCUGUUCUGCACCCUCUGCUGGUGAUACCCAGGCAAACAGGGUCUGGAGUGGAGCUCCAGCAAACUCCAGCAGGGACAAGCAGUUCCCUGCAGCUGAGGGACCUGACUGUUAGAAGGAAAACUAACAAACAGAAAGUAAUAGCAUCAACAUCAAUAAAAAGGACAUCCACACCAAAACCCCAUCUGUAGGUCACCAACAUCGAAGACCAAAGGUAGAUAAAACCACAAAGAUGGGGAGAAAGCAGAGCAGAAAAACUGAAAAUUCCAAAAACAGAGCACAUCUUCUCCUCCAAAGGAUCACAGCUCCUCACCAGCAAUGGAACAAAGCUGGACAGAGAAUGACUUUGACAAGUUGACAGAAGUAGGCUUCAGAAGGUUGGUAAUAACAAAUUUCUCCAAGCUAAAGGAGCAUGUUCUAACCCAUUGCAAGGAAGCUAAAAACCUUGAAAAAAGGUUAGGUGAAUGGCUAACUAGAAUAAACAGUGUAGAGAAGACCUUAAAUGACCUGAUGGAGCUGAAAACCAUGGCACAAGAACUUCGUGACACAUGCACAAACUUCAAUAGCUGAUUCGAUCAAGUGGAAGAAAGGAUAUCAGUGACUGAAAAUCAAAUUAAUGACAUAAAGCAAGAUGACAAGAUUGGAGAAAAAAGAGUAAAAGGAAACAAACAAAUCCUCCAAGAAAUAUGGGGCCAUGUGAAAAGACCAAAUCUAUGUUUGAUUGUUGUACCUGAAAGUGACGGGGAGAAAGGAACCAAGUUGGAAAACACUUUUGAGGAUAUUAUCCAGGAGAACUUCUCCAACUAGCAAGGCAGACCAACAUUCAAAUUCAGGAAAUACAGAGAACACCACAAAGAUACUCCUUGAGAUGAGCAGUCCCAAGACACAUAAUCAUCAGAUUCACCAAGAUGAAAUCAAGGAAUAAAUGUUAAGGGCAGCCAGAGAGAAAGGUCGGGUUACCCACAAAUGGUAGCCCAUCAGACUAACAGUGGAACUCUUGGCAGAAACUUUAUAAGCCAGAAGAGAGUGGAGGCCAAUAUUCAACAUUCUUAACCAAAAGAAUUUUCAACCCAGAAUUUCAUCUCCAGCCAAACUAAGCUUCAUAAGUGAAGGAGAAAUAAAAUCCUUUACCGACAAGCGAAUGCUGACAGAUUUUGUCACCACCAGGCCUGCCUUACAAGAGCUCCUGAAGGAAGCAGUAAACAUGGAAAGGAACAACCGGUACCAGCCACUGCAAAAACAUGCCAAAUUAUAGAGACCAUCAAUUCUAUGAAGAAAUUGCAUGAAAUAAUGGGCAAAAUAACCAGCUAACGUCAUAAUGACAAGAUCAAAUUCACACAUAACAAUAUUAACCUUAAAUGUAAAUGGGCUAAAUGCCACAAGUACAAGACACAGACUGGCAAAUUUGAUAAAGAGUCAAGACCCAUCAGUGUGUUGUAUUCAGGAGACUCAUCUCACAUGCAGAGACACACACAGGCUCAAAAUAAAGGGAUGGAGGAAGAUCUACCAAGCAAAUGGAAAGCAAAAAAAAAGCAGGGGUUGCAAACCUAGUCUCUGAUAAACCAGACUUUAAACCAACAAAGAUCAAUAGAGACAAUGAAGGCCAUUACAUAAUGGUAAAGGGAUCAAUUCAACAAGAAGAGCUAACUAUCCUAAAUAUAUAUGCACCCAAUACAGGAGCACCCAGAUUCAUAAAGCAAGUCCUUAGAGACCUACAAAGAGACUUAGACUCCCACACAAUAAUAAUGGGAAACUUUAACACCCUACUGUCAAUAUUAGAAAAAUCAACGAGACAGAAGGUUAACAAGGAUAUACAGGACUUGAACUCAACUCUGCACCAAGUGGACCUAAUAGACAUCUACAGAACUCUCCAUGCCAAAAUCAACAGAAUAUACAUUCUGUAAAAGAACAGAAACCACAACAAACUGUGUCUCAGACCACAGUGCAAUCAAAUUAGAAUUCAGGAUUAAGAAACUCAUUCAAAACUGCUCAACUACAUGGAAACUGAGCAACCUGCCCCUGAAUGACUACUGGGUACAUAAAAAAAUGAAGGCAGGAAAAAAGAUGUUCUUUGAAACCAAUGAGAAAAAAGACAAAAUGUACCAGAAUCUCUGGGACACAUUUAAAGCAGUGUGUAGAGGGAAACUUAUAGCACUAAAUGCCCACAAGAGAAAGCAGGAAAGAUCUAAAAUCGACACCCUAACAUUACAAUUAAAAGAACUAGAGACGCAAGAGCAAACAAAUUCAAAAGCUAGCAGAAGGCAAGACAUAACUAAGAUCAGAGCAGAACUGAAAGAGAUAGAGACACAAAAAACCCUUCAAAAAAUCAAUGAAUCCAGGAGCUGUUUUUCGAAAAGAUCAACAGAAUCGAUAGACUGCUGGCAAGACUAAUAAGAAAAGAAAGAAGAAUCAAAUAGACACAAUAAAAAAUAAUAAAAGGGAUAACACCACCGAUCCCACAAAAAUACAAACUACCAUCAGAGAAUACUAUAAACACCUCUAUGCAAAUAAACUAGAAAAUCUAGAAGAAAUGGAUAAAUUCCUGGACACAUACACCCUCCCAAGGGUAAACCAGGAAGAAGCUGAAUCUCUGAAUAGACCAAUAACAGCCUCUGAAAUUGAGGCAAUAAUUAAUAGCCUACCAAUGAAAAAAAGGCCAGGACCAGAUGAAUUCUACCAGAGGUACAAAGAGGAGCUGGUACCAUUCCUUCUGAAACUAUUCCAAUAGGAAAGAGGGAAUCCUCCCUAAUUCAUUUUAUGAGGCCGGCAUCAUCCUGAUACCAAAACCUGGUAGAGACACAACAAAAAAACAGAAUUUUAGACCAAUAUCCCUGAUGAACAUCGAUGCAAAAAUCCUCAAUAAAAUACUGUCAAACCGAAUCCAGCAGCACGUCAAAAAGCUUAUCCACCACGAUCAACUUGGCUUCAUCCCUGGGAUACAAGGCUGGUUCAACAUACACAAAUCAAUAAACGUAAUUCAUCAUAUAAACAGAACCAGCGAAGAAAACCACAUGAUUAUCUCAAUAGAUGCCAAAAAGGCUUUUGACAAAAUUCAACAGCCCUUCAUACUAAAAACUCUCAAUAAACUAGGUAUUGAUUGAACAUAUCUCAAAAUAAUAAGAGCUAUUUAUAACAAACACGCAGCCAAUAUCAUACUGAAUGGGCAAAAUUUGGAAGCAUUCCCUUUGAAAAGUGCUAUAAGACAAGGAUGCCCUCUCUUACCACUCCUAUUCAACAUAGUGUUGGAAGUUCUGGCCAGGGUAAUCAGGCAAGAGAAAGAAAUAAAAGGUAUUCAGUUAGGAAAUGAGGAAGUCAAAUUGUCCCUGUUUGCAGAUGACAUGAUUGUAUACUUAGAAAACCCCAUUGUCUCAGCCCAAAAUCUCCUUAAGCUGAUAAGCAACUUCAGCAAAGUCUCAGGAUACAAAAUCAAUGUGCAAAAAUCACAAGCAUUCCUAUACACCAAUAACAGACAAACAGAGAGUGAAAUCAUGAGUGAACUCCCAUUCACAAUUGCUUCAAAGAGAAUAAAAUACCUAGGAAUCCAACUUAUAAGGGAUGUGAAGGACCUCAUCAAGGACAACUACAAACCACUGUUCAAUGAAAUAAAAGAGGACACAAACAAAUGGAAGAACAUUCCAUGCUCAUGGGUAGGAAGAAUCAAUAUCGUGAAAAUGGCCAUACUGCCUAAGGUAAUUUAUAGAUUCAAUGCCACCCCCAUCAAGCUACCAAUGACUUUCUUCACAGAAUUGGAAAAAAUUACUUUAAAGUUCAUAUGGAACCAAAAAAACCUGCAUUGCCAAGACAAUCCUAAGCCAAAAGAACAAAGCUGGAGGCAUCACGCUACCUGACUUCAAACUAUACUACAAGGCUAUAGCAACCAAAACAGCAUGGUACUGGUACCAAAACAGAGAUGUAGACCAGUGGAACAGAACAGAGACCUCAGAAAUAAUAAUACACAUCUACAACCAUCUGAUCUUUGACAAACCUGACAAAAACAAGAAAUGGGGAAAUGAUUUCCUACUUAACAAAUGGUGCUGGGAAAACUGGCUAGCCAUAUGUAGAGAGCUGAAACUGGAUCCCUUUCUUACACCUUAUACAGAAAUUAAUUCAAGAUGGAUUAAAGACUUUAAUGUUGAACCUAAAACCAUAAAAACCCUAGAAGAAAACCUAGGCAAUACCAUUCAGGACAUAGGCAUGGGCAAAAACUUCAUGACUAAAACACCAAAAGCAAUGGCAACAAAAGCCAAAAUAGACAAAUGGGAUCUAAUUAACCUAAAGAGCUUCUGCACAACAAAAGAAACUACCAUCAGAGUGAACAGGCCACCUAUAGAAUGGCAGAAAAUUUUUGCAUAGUACCCAUCCAACAAAGGGCUAAUAUCCAGAAUCUACAAAGAACUUAAACAAAUUUACAAGAAAAAAACAAACAACCUCAUCAAAAAGUGGGCAAAGGAUAUGAACAGACACUUCUCAAAAGAAGACAUUUAUGAAGCCAAAAAACGUGAAAAAAUGCUCAUCAUCAGAGAAAUGCAAAUCAAAACCACAAUGGAAUACCAUCUCACACCGGUUAGAAUGAAGAUCAUUAAAAAGUCAGGAAACAACAGAUGCUGGAGGGGAUGUGGAGAAAUAGGAACGCUUUUGCACUGUUGGUGGGAGUGUUAAUUAGUUCAAUCAUUGUGGAAGGCAGUAUGGUGAUUCCUCAAGGAUCUAGAACUAGAAAUACCAUUUGACCCAGCGAUCCUAUUACUGGGUAUAAACCCAAAGGAGUAUAAAUCAUGCUGCCAUAAAGACACAUGCACACGUAUGUUUAUUGCAGCACUACUCACAAUAGCAAAGACUUGGAACCAACCCAAAUGUCCAUCAGUGAUAGACUGGAUUAAGAAAUUGUGGCAUAUAUACCCCAUGGAAUACUAUGCAGCCAAAAAAAGGAUGAGUUCGUGUCCUUUGUAGGGACAUGGAUGAAGUUGGAAACCAUCAUUCUCAGCAAACUGUCACAAGGACAGAAAACAAACACUGCAUGUUCUCACUCAUAGGUGGGAAUUGAACAUUGAGAACACGUGGGCACAGGGAGGGGAACAUCACACACUGGGGCCUGUCAGGGGGAGGGGGACUAGGGGAGAGAGAUAGCAUUAGGAGAAAUACCUAAUGUAAAUGAUGAGUUGAUGGGUGCAGCAAACCAGCAUGGCACAUAGAUAACUACGUAACAAACCUGCACGUUCUGCACAUGUACCCUGGAACUUAAAGUAUAAUAAAAAAAAUGGACAAUGAUUUGAAAGACUCUUGGCCAAAUUUUCUAUUUAUUUAUUUAUUUAUUUUAUAUUUUAACUUCUAUUUUAGGAUUGGGGGUUCAUGUAAAGUUUUGUCACACAGGUAAACAUGUGUCACAAAGUUUUGUUGUACAUAUGAUUUCAUCACCAAGCUAUUAAGCCCAGUACCCAAUAGUUAUCUUUUCUGCUCCUCUACCUUUUCCCACCCUCCUCCCUUCUGAUAGACCCCAGUGUCUGUUCCUUCUUUGUGUUCCUAAGUUCUUAUCAUUUAGCUUCCAUUUAUAAGUGAGAACAUGAGGUAUUUGGCUUUCUGUUCCUGUGUUAGUUUGCUAAGGAUAACAUCCUCCAGCUCCAUCCAGGUUCCUGAAAAAAACAUAAUGUCAUUCUUUUCCAUGACUGCAUAGUUUUCCAUGACUGCAUAGUAUUCCAUGGCGUAUAUGGGAUAGUAUACAUAUACACCAUGUGUAUGCAUAUAUCUUUUCUUUAAUCUGUCAUUGAUGGGCAUUUAGGUUGAUACUAUGUCUCUGCUAUGUGUAUAGUGCUGCAAUGAACAUUUGUGUGCAUGUAUCUUUAUGGUAGAAUAAUUUGUGUUUGGAUAUCUUCCCAGUGAUGGGAUUGCUAGGACAAAUGGUAGUUCUCCUUUCUCAAUGUAUUAGGUAGUAUGAAGGAAGUGAGAGUGGCUAGUUUAAUUGGAAGCUUGAGGACAUGGGUAAAAGUUUGCAUUCUCCGUGGAGAAUCUAAAAGAGAGAAGAAAGGAAUCUCAGAAAGGAAUUCUUCAUUCUGUAUGUAGAAUCAAAGGAAGAUUAAACAAGAAAAAGUAGGACAGCUGAUCAGUGUUGAGAGCACAAGUAUGGACACGAAAAUUUGAAUGAUUUUCGUUCUGUGAGGUUGUGUGGCAUUUCCUGUCAACUCUGGAAAGAUGGAGAAGCUGUAAAAUCCAUAAUUAUAACUGAAGGCAUAUUUAGAGCAAGAGCAAAUAUGUAACUGAAACUGUUAUGUCAAGAAAAAGAUGAAAUUUCAUUCAAUAUUCAGAGUUUAAGAAAGAAUGAAUUGCACAUGAGAAUUCUGAAAGCAUUUGUUGAAGUUGAAAUGAUUAAAAUUUUUAAAGUUUUCAUGCCAGAAAGAAUAAACAUUAGCUGUCAAAAAAUUCAUUUAAAUGGAUAAACACUGAGCAAAUGAACUCUUCCUGGAUUUUUUACUUAUUACCUGAUUAAAUUGAUUGGCAAAAAAUUUAAAUUGUUUUUCUUUUUCUCUAAAUCUAUAUGUCAAAGUAAGAAACCCAAAACAAUCAACCUUGUAACUCUUUUAAGCAAAAUAUUCAGAAAUUGUUUAGGUGCCAGGCAUGUUGAAUUUGAGAUCCUGACAGCCAAAGAGCAAGUGCAUAUAUGCAUUUUAAGUAGUUUCCUAUAUCAUUAUUUCAAUGCCACUGCAAUCAUUCACUGUGUUAGGUGCUCCAAUCAUUUAUUGAUCUUCUGGUAACUAGCAUAGCAGCUGCAACAAAAGCCCUACCAUGUUUCUGUCUAGAAUCUCUGCUGCCCCACAGCACCUGCUGUGUACCCCUCACGGGGAGUUUAUAAAGAACAUUAGAUAACAUAGAGGCUUGUUUAGCUUAGUGCUGCAUUUAGUUUUGGUAUUGAGGAGUUCAUAGGUUGCCAAUACUUUCGUUUUGUUAUUUUAUUAUUGUUAUUUUUAUUAUUGUUUAUUAUUGUUAUUUUAUUAUUGUGGUGUUUGUUUCAAAAGACUGAAUGUUAGAAUGAAGUAUAUUUUAGGCCUGACUAAAAUGUUAUCAGGGCCAGGAAAUUUGGUGAGAUUUCUUUCAACAAAAAUCUCUUAGGCUCAUAGUGCAACUCAAUUCUAGGAAGCUCAAGAAAGCUACUAGUUUCAACUCAUCCAGUUGCCAGAUGCUAAUCUCUUGAUAGCAUGCUGCUUCAGCAUUCAUUCAUCUAUCGCUUGCUUUGGUUUCUGCCUUAGAAAAAGACAGGACCGAAUGCAGAGAAACUGAAAAUCAAACAAACAUACUCUCUGAGAAUAUAGUUAAAGGAAAUAAGGUUUUUAUUUAUGAAUGCGGCAAAGGUUACUGUUUCUUACAAAAUGAUAGUGACAUAAAAUAAAAACAAUGACUCUGAAAAGAAUGCAAAAUAAGCAUCUCAGUGUUUAAACUUGCAUCAUAAAUCCCAUGGGUUUUAUUUUAUAGGAAACGCUUAGGUCCUGAUUCAGAGCCUACUCACUGUGUUUUAUAUAAAAUUCCUACAUGCUUAAUUAUUUACUUUCUGAGCUUACAGAUGGUAUAUGGAGUGUGUAUAUCUAGGUAAUCCUGAGAAAACCACUAGACUGUAAACUCCAUGAGAGCAGAGACCAGAUUUAUUUUAUUUGAUUUUGGAUUUCCAGUGUUUAGCACAUUCCUGCUGUAUAGCAGCUGGACAAGAAAAAUUUAACAAAGAAAUGAAUGAUAAUUAAUUGGAAGUAAUCAGGGAAUCUAGACCUGUCUUAAUGAAACAGAUGUGAGAUAUAUCCUCUGAAGCCUAAAAAAUCAAAGUGGUGAUGCUAACAGUGUUGCCUUUUAGAGAUAGUUGGAAUGGAAAAAUAUUUAUUUUUUUCCGAGGUCUGCCAGUUCUGUCUUGAAUGACCUAAACCAUGAAAUUUAUACCUCAGAAUAUUGGCAACUAUUUAGAUCAAACGAAACUCAACCAUCUUCAAAAAAGUGACCUUUCAGAGAAAGUUGCUGUUCUUUUAUUGACUUCUUAAAUCAAACUUAUUUUUAAUGUGUCCCACAUGUUUAAAACAUAGUCUGCAUCAAACUUAACUCUAAAUUAUGAUGCAUCUGAACCUAAAUAUUGUCUCAACUAAAAAUUUUUAAUCAAAAUAACAGUGCACUUACUGGCUUAAUUCAACAUGGGGGAGCUGAUGUUUCUGAACCCUGGAGGCUAAUCCUAUGAUAGCAAUAGUCCUUGAGUAGUGUAGAUUCUUUUGCUUCUAUUUUUGAAGAAAGGUAAUGAAUAUAAAGGUAAUGAAUAUAAAGGAAUAUAAACAUCAGAGUUCUACUUCAUUAAAAUGUGGUUUAAAAUGAGGUGAAAACUGUCAGAAUAUUCUUAUUAUCAUGUGUUAUGAACAGAGUAUGCCAGGGAAUAAUUUAUUCAUCUAGAAUGAGCGUGCUAACUGUAAAACCCUUUGGUUAAAAGCACAGACUCUGAAGCAGACUAAAGUGCUUAAAUCUUGGCUGUGUCACUUACCAGCUAUAUGACCUUGGUAAUACUUCAUCUUUUUGGGCCUCGGAUUUCUCAUUUGUGAAAUGAUGGUAAUAAUAUUACCUAUUUAACAGGCUUGUUGUGAAGAUUCAAUGAGUUAAUAUGAAGUUCAUAGAAAGUGCCUGGAAUAGUGGCCGGGUGUGGUGGCUCACACCUGUAAUCCCAGCACUUUGGGAGGCCGAGGCAGAUGGAUCACGAGGUCAGGAGAUCUAGACCAUCCUGGCUAACACAGUGAAACUCUGUCUCUACUAAAAAUACAAAAAAUUAGCUGGGCAUGGUGGCAGGCGCCUGUAGUCCAGCUACUUGGGAGGCUGAGGCAGGAGAAUGGUGUGAAUCCGUGAGGCAGAGGUUGCAGUGAGCCGAGAUUGCACCACUGCACUCCACCCUGGGCGACAGAGCAAGACUCCAUCUCAAAAAAAAAAAAAAAAUAAAAAUAAAAGUGCCUGGAAUAUAAGUGCUAAAUAAGUGUUUGGUCACUCAUUGUUUCUCAUAAAGUGACACAAAACUUUAAUCAUUCUUUGGAGAAAGUUAUGUGAAAAGGAAGAGCAGCAUGCAGUCAUAACAUUAAUUCCAUCAAUUCCUUGGCUGUAUCUCUGUGCAAUUAGGCAAUCGUUUUAUUGCUAGUGCUAUUCCAAGGUUAUUUCACUUCAGUGGGCCUAGGAAGGCUUUAAUGCUGACUUCUUUCCCAUCAUGAGCAGAGUAAUGGGUCCUUUGGAUACCAAACCCCUUGGUGUAGCUUACUUGGCUUAAAUUAAUGUGCUCUGUUCAACCAGUCACACCUUCCUUACCCCCAGGAUCCCACAGCGUCUCUCAUUCUUGCCACCACCAAAGCAGCCUGCCAGCUUGUACUUGCCCCUCGAAGUUCCCAGGCAAGAGUCAGAGAAAGGUUCCCUGUGUCCUCCUAACUCCAUGGUAUGGAUCAGACACUUACAUGUGCAGAUCCUCUUUCUCCCUUGGCUCACAGCACCCUGGCAACUCUCACCAAAUAAAUCCUCCUUCCAAAUCCUUUCUCCAGUCUUAUUGUUUACUCCUUAUUACUUGCCAUGUGGGUUUUAGGGUUGUCUAACUAGUUCUCAACAAUACCACUUGGAAAAUGUGUAAGUACUACUGGAUGUUGUCCCUUAAUUCAUUUUAAUAUCUGAUGUUCACAUACCUUGGUGUCUCAGUUAAAAUUUCUUAUUUUCUUAUAGAAGCAAUAGCCUGGUUCUAUAAAGACAUUAAUGAUAUUUUUUAAAUAAAGUUUUAAUCCAGACUUUCUGUUCCUGCAGAUUCCUUUUGUGCAGUGUGUGUUUUUCUCUGCUCUUUAUCCUUCUUCCUGCACCCUUUUUUUCAAGAGUCUGGUGGUCCUCGACUGCCCUCAUUUCAGACAGAGGAACUGCACACUGACUGGAAACUCUGUCUGCAUGUGUUGAUUGGACUGUACACUGUGGCCUCUCUGCAGGGCAAUCUAGCUGGCAUUUCCACUGUGGAACACUAGCAAAAAUGAAUGUGUUAGGUCUUUCAUCCAGGGAUGAUUAUGCCAAGAAAAGAAUCCUCCAAUUUCCUGCUUUUGAAGUAUGGGUGGUAGAUAGGAUCUGGAUUGUCAGUUUUCUAAGCCAAAGUGAAGGAGACAGGGGUUUCACCAUUCAUAAUGUAGACUUUGCUGAUUCUCCUGUUUCAAGUAUUGCAUCUCACUCUUGCCCUCAGCCGUGAUGUUAUCUGUAAGUCUCGAACCUCUGUGGGCCAGAUCUUUGGAUUCUCCUGGUUCUGUCUGUCUUGUACCAGUAUACAGUGGAUCUGUGUGUGUGAUGAGUGAGGAAGGGGAUAAGAGACUUUCAUCCAGUCUUCCUGUGAACAGCGUCAUUUAUACCUUCACUAACAGAGAUACUUGACCCUCCAAUUCCUAAGCCUUUCUGCAGGUCUGCAAACUUUGUUUGCCAGAUAAGGUUGCUAUUUAUCCUGGUAACUGAAGACAAAGGGCAUAUACUCUUGGGAGUUCUGGAACAGGUGUUGGUUUCCAUGACUGAGAGACCCAUAGAUGGUUCACAUCACAGGACUCUGUGCAGACAACCCCCAGUACCAGCCUGGAGCCUGGUAGACUUGCUAGGUUGCUAGAUCCAGAACAGAGAUAACAAUCACUACAGCUCAGCUCUCAGAAAGCAACAUGCACAGGAAAAAGGGAAGAGUACUACAUCAGGGCAACAUCCUAUGGGACAAAACAAUCUGAAAAACAGCCUUCAGCCCUAGACCUUCCUUCUGACAGAGCCUGCCCAAAGAAGAAGGAACCAGAAAACCAAUUCUGGUAAUAUGACAAAACAAGGUUAUUUACCACGCCCGAAAAAUCACACUAGCUCACCAACAACGGAUCCAAAUGAAGAAGAAAUCCCUGAUUUACCUGAAAAAGAAUUCGGGAGGUUAGUUAUUAAGCUAAUUAGGGAGGCACCAGGGAAAAGUGAAGCCCAGUGUAAGGAAAUCAAAAAAUGGUACAAAAGGUGAAGGGAGGAAUAUUCAACGAAAUUGAUAGCAUAAAUAAAAAGUAAUAAAAACUUCAGGAAACAAUGGACACACUUAUAGAAAUGCAAAAUGCUCUGGAAAGCCUCAGCAAUAGAAUUGAACAAGUAGAAGAAAGGAAUUCAGAGCUCGAAGACAAGGUCUUUGAAUUAACCCAAUCCAACAAAGACAAAGAAAAAAGAAUAAGAAAAUAUGAACAAAGACUCCAAGAAGUCUGGGAUUAUGUUAAACAACGAAACCUAAGAAUAAUGGGGAUUCCUGAAGAAGAAGAGAGAUCUACAAGUUUGGAAAACAUAUUUGGGGGAAUAAUUGAGGAAAACUUCCCUAGCCACGCUAGAGACCUAGACAUCCAAAUAUAAAAAGGACAAAGAACAUCUGGGAAAUUCAUCACAAAAAGAUAAUUGCCUAGGGACAUUGUCAUCAGGUUAUCUAAAGUUAAGAUGAAGGAAAGAAUCUUACUUAAGAGCUGUGAGACAGAAGCACCAGGUAACCUAUAAAGGAAAACCUAACAGAUUAACAGCAGAUUUCUCAGAAGAAACUGUACAAGUUAGAAGGGACUGGGGCCCUAUCUUCAGCCUCCUCAAACAAAACAAUUAUAAGCCAAGAGUUUUUUAUCCAGUGAAACUAAGCUUCAUAUAUGAAGGAAAGAUACAGUCAUUUUCAGACAAACAAAUGCUGAGAGAAUUUGCCACUACCAAGCCACCACUACAAGAACUGCUAAAAGGAGCUCUAAAUCUUGAAACAAAUUGUGGAAACACAUCAAAACGCAACCUCUUUAAAGCAUAAAUCUCACAGGACCUAUAAAACAAAAAUAAAAUUUAAAAAAACAAAAACAAAAAGCUAAAAGUUAAGGGAUACAUGCAAUAAAUAGCACAAUGAAUGCAAUGGUACCUCACAUCUCAAUACUAACAUUGAAUGUAAAUGACUCAAUCUCCACUUAAAAGAUACAGAAUUGGAGAAUUAUAAAAAUUCUUGCUACCUUCAAGAGACUCACCUAACACAUAAGGACUCACAUAAACUUAAGGUAAAGGGGUGAAAAAGACAUUUCACACAAAUGAAUAUCAAAAGUGAGUAUGAGUAGCUAUUCUUAUAUCAGACAAAAUAAACUUUAAAGCAACAGCAGUUAAAAAAGACCAAGAGGGACAUUAUAUAGUGAAAAAAGGCCUUGUUUGACAGGAACAUAUGACAAUCAUAAAUAUAUAUACACCUAAGACUGGCGCUUCCAAAUUUAUAAAACAAUUACUAAUAGACCUAAGAAAUGAGAUAGAAGCAACACGAUAAUUGUGGGGGACUUCAAUACUCCACUGACAGCACUAGACUUGUCAUUAAGACAGAAAGUCAACAAGGAAACAAUGAAUUUAUACCAUGGAACAAAUGAACUUAACAGAUAUAUACAGAACAUUCCAUCCAACAACUGCAGAAUGUACAUUCUAUUCAACAGCAUAUGAAACUUCCUCCAAGAUAGACCAUAUGAUAGGCCACAAAAUGAGCCCAAUAAAUUUAAGAAAAUUGAAAUGAUAUCAAACAGUCUUUCAGACCAUAGUGGAAUAAAACUGGAAAUCAACUCUAAACCUUUAAAAUCAUGUAAAUAUCAUAGACAUUAAGUAGUCUUCUCCUGAAUGAUCAUUGUAGUCAAAAUGAAAUCAGCAUAGAAAUUACAAAAUUCUUCAAACUGAACGACAAUAGUGACACAAGCUAUCAAAACCUCAUGGAUACAGCAAAGGCAGUGAGAAGUGGAAAGCUCAUAGCCCUAAACACCUACAUCAAAAAGUCUGAAAGAGCACAAACAAAUAAUCUAAGGCCACACUUCAAGGAACUAGAGAAGCAAGAACAAACCAAACCCAAACCCAGCAGAAGAAAGGAAAUAACCAAGAUCAGAGCAGAACUAAAUGAAAUUGAAACAAAAAGAAAAUUAUGAAAGAUAAAUGAAACAAAAAGCUAGUUCUUUAAGAAGAUAUAUAAAAUUGAUAGACCAUUAGCAAUAUUAAUCAAGAAAAGAAGAAAAUCCAAAUAAGCUCAAUAAGAAACAAAAUGGAAGAUACUACAACUGACAGCACACAAAGAUCAUUCAAGGCUGCUAUGAACACCUUUACACACAUAAACUAGAAAACUUAGAAUAGAUGGAUAAAUUCCUGGAAAGGUGCAACCCUUCUAGCUUAAAUCAGGAAGAAUUAGAUACCCUGAACAGACCAAUAACAAGCAGCAAGAUUGAAAUGGCAAUUAAAAAAUUACCAGCAAAAAAAGUCCAGGACCAGACAGAUUCACAGCAGAAUUCUACCAGACAUUCAAAGAAGAAUUGGUACCAAUCCUAUUGACACUAUUCCACAAGAUAGAGAAGAAGGAAUCCUCCCUAAAUCAUUCUCUGAAGUCAGUAUCACCCUAAUACCAAAACUGGUAAAAAACAUAACCAAACAAGAAAUCUGCAGAACAAUAUCCCUGAUGAACAUAGAUACUAAAAUCCUUAACAAAAUACUAGCUAACUGAAUCCAACAACGUAUCACAAUGAUAAUCCACCAUGAUCAAAUAGGUUUCAUAUCAGGAAUGCAGGGAUGGUUUAGCACAUGCAAGUCGAUAAAUGUGAUACACCACAUAAACAGAAUUGAAAACAAAAAUCACAUGAUUAUCUCAAUAGAAGCAGAAAAGCAUUUGACAAAAUCCAGCAUCCCUUUAUGAUUAAAACUCUCAGCAAAGUUGGUAUAUGAGGGACAUACCUCAAUAUAAUGAAAGCCACCUAUGACAAAUUUAUAGCCAACAUAAUACCGAAUGGGGAAAAGUUGAAAGCAUUCCCUCUGAGAACUGGAACAAGACAAGGAUGUCCACUUUCACCAUUCUGCUUCAACAUAGUACUAGAAGUCCUAGCCAGAGCAAUCAGACAAGAGAAAGAAAUAAAGGGCAUCCAAAUCAGCAAAGAGGAAGUCAAACUGUUGCUCUUUGCUGAUGAUAUGAUCAUUUAUGUAGAAAACCCUAAAGACUCUUCCAGAAAGCUCCUAGAACUGAUAAAAUAAUUCAGCAAAGUUUCUGGAUACAAAAUUAAUGUACACAAAUCAGCAGCUCUUUUAUCCACCAAUAGCGACUAAGCUGAGAAUCAAAUUAAGAACACAACCCCUUUUACAAUAGCUGCCGGAAAAAACAAAACAAAACAAAAAAAACACUUAGGAAUAUACCUAACCAAGGAGGUGAAAGACCUCUACAAGGAAAGCUACAAAACAUUUCUGAAAGAUAUCAUAAAUGACAGAAACAAAUAGAAACACAUCCCAUGCUCAUGGAUGAGAGAAUAAAUAUUGUGAAAAUGACCAUACACCAAAAGCAAUCUAGAAAUUCAAUGCAAUUUCCAUCAAAAUACUGUCAUCAUUCUUCACAGAAUUAGAAAAACAAUUCUAAAAUUCAUAUGGAACCAAAUAAGAGCCCAUAUAGCCAAAGCAAGAGUAAGCAAAAAGAACAAAUAUGGAGGAAACACAUUACCUGAUUUCAAACAAUAAGGUUAUAGUCACCAAAGCAGCACGGUAUUGGUAUAAAAAUAGGCACAUAGACCAAUGGAACAGAAUAGAGAACCCAGAAAUAAACCCAAAUACUUUUAGCCAUCUGAUCUUUGACAAAACAAACAAGAACAUAAAGUGGGGAAUGGACACUCUUUUCAACAAAUGGUGCUGGGAUAAUUGGCUAGCCACAUGUAGGAGGACAGUGGAUCCUCAUCUUUCACUUUAUACCAAAAUCAACUCAAGAUGGAUUAAUUACUUAAAUCUAAGACCUGAAACUAUAAAAAUUCUAGAAGAAAACUUUGGAAAAACCCUUCUAGACACUGUCGUAGCAAGGAUUUCAAGACCAAAAACCCAAAAGCAAAUGCAACAAAAACAAAGAUAAAUAGCUGGAACUUAAUUAAAUGAAACAGCUUUUGCAUGGCAAAAGGAACAGUCAGUAGAGUAAAUAGACAACUCACAGAGUGGGAGGAAAUCUUCACAAUCUAUACAUCUGACAAAGAACUAAUAUCCAGAAUCUACAACGAACUCAAACAAAUCAGCAAGAAAAAAACAACCCCAUCAAAAAGUGGGCUAAGGACAUGAAUAGACAAUUCUCAAAAGAAAAUAUACAAAUGGCUAACAAACAUAUGAGAAAAUGUUCAACAUCACUAAUGAUCAGGGAACUGCAAAUCAAAACCACAAUGCGAUACCACCUUACUCCUGCAAGAAUGGCUUUAAUAAAAAAAUUAAAAAAUAGUAGAUGUUGGCAUGAAUGCGGUAAACAGGGAACACUACUACACUGCUGGUGGGAAUGUAAACUAGUACAACCACUGUGGAAAGCAGUGUGGAGGUUCGUUAAAGAGCUAAAAGUAGAACUAUCAUUUGAUCCAGCAUUUCCACUACUGGGUAUCUACCCAGAGCAAAAGAACUCAUAUGAAAAAGAUAUUUGUGCACACAUGUUUAUAGCAGCACAAUUCGCAAUUGCAAAAAUGUGAAACCAACCCAAAUGCCUACUGAUUAACGAGUGGAUAAAGAAACUGUAUAUAUAUAUGAUGGAAUACUACUCACCCAUAAAAAGGAAUGAAUUAAUGGCAUUCACCGUGACCUGGAUGAGAUUGGAGACCAUUAUUCUAAGUGAAGUAACUCAGGAAUGGAAAACCAAACAUCAUACGUUCUCACUUACAAGUAGGAGCUAAGCUAUGAGGAUGCAAAGGAAUAAGAAUGACACAAUGGGCUUUGGGGACUCAGGGGGAAAGGGUGGGAAGUGGGUGAGGGGUAAAAGACUACAAAUAGCAUGCAGUGUAUACUGCCUGGGUGGUGGAUGCACCAAAAUCUUACAAAUCACCACUAGAGAAUGUACUCAUAUAACCAAACACCACCUGUUCCCCAAUAACCUGUGGAAACAAAAAAUUUUUUUAAAUUAAAACUUAGAAGAAAAAAAGGAUGUAACAGAAUGAUAGGCUGGUGGUAAAAUCUGUCUAAUCUUGUUCAGUAGAAGGCAUAACUUGUGAAAACUGCCUGAUAUAAUAUGGUGUUGCUGUACAGGGAUACCUUGUCUUACUGCACUUUGCUUUAUUGUGCUUCAUAGAUAUUGCAUUUUUUACAAAUUGAAGGUUUGUGCCAACUGUGUUUUGAGUAAGUCUGUUGGCACCAUUUUUUCAAGAGCAGAUGCUCACUUUAUGUCUCUGUGUCAUGUUUUGGUAAUUCUCACAAUAUUUCAAACUUUUUCAUUAUUGUUAUACCUGUUACAGUGAUCUGUGAUCAGUGAUCUUUGAUGUUACUAUUGACUUCAUUUGGGGGCAUUACAAACCACAUCCAUAUAGGAUGUCAAACUUAAUCAAUGAAUAUUCUAUGUGUUCUGACUGCUCCAUUGACUGGCCAUUCCCCCAUCUCUUUCCUUUUUUGGUGGGUCUCUAUUUCCUGAGACACAAGAAUGUUAAAGUUAGACCAGUUAAUAACCUUACAAUGGCCUCUAAGUGUUCAAGUGAAAGAAAGGGUCACAAAUCUGUCACUUUAAACCAAAAACUAGAAGUGAUUAAGCUUAGUGAGCAAAGCAUGUCAAAAGCUGAGAUAGGCUGGAAGCUAGGCCUUUUAUGCCAAACAGUGAGCCAAAUUGUGAAUGCAAAGACAGAGUUCUUGAAAGAAAUUAAAAGUGCUACUUCAGUGAACACAUGAAUGGUAAGAAAGCAAAAGAGGCUUAUUGCUGAUAUGGAGAAAGUUUUAGUGGUCUGGGUAGAAAAUCAAACCAGCCACAACAUUCCCUUAAGCCAAAGCCAAAUCCAGAGCAAGUCCCUAAUUCUCUUCAACUCUGUAAAGCUUCAGAGAGUUGAGGAAGUGGCAGAAGAGAAGUUUGAAGCUAGCAGAGGUGAGGUCCAUGGGGUUUAAGAAGAGAAGCCAUCUCCAAAACAUAAGAAGUGCCAAUGCUGGUAUAGAAGCUGCAGUAAGUUAUUCAGAAGAACUAGCUAAGCAAAUCAAUGCAAUUGGCUACACUAAACAGCAGAUUUCCAAUGUAGGCGAAACAGCCUUCUAUUGGAUGAAGAUGCCAUUUAGGAUUUUCAUAGCUAGAGAGGAGAACUCAAUGUCUGGCUUUAAAGCUUCAAAGGACACACUGUUUUUCAGGGCAAAUGCAGCUAGUGACUUGAAGUUGAAGCCAAUGCCCAUUUAGUAUUUCAAAAAUCCUAGGGUGUCUCUCAGAAUGUUUGAGUGAAAAAAAAGAAAAAUAAUCCUAGUGCCCUUAAAAAUUAUGUUAAAUCUGCUCUGACUGUUCCCUAUAAAUGAAAAAGCAAAGCCUGUAUGACAGCACAUCUGCUUACAGCAUGGCUUACUGAACAUCUAAAUAUUUUAUGUCCACUGUUGAGACAUACUGCCUAGAAAAACUUCUUUCAAAAUAUUUCUGCUCAUUGACAAUGCAUAUGGUCACCCAAGAGUUCUGAUAAAAUUGUAGAAGAUUAAUAUUGUUUUUGUGCCAACGUUAUUGUGUUACUGUGUAACCAAUGGGACAAGAAGUAAUUUUGUUUAUUUUUAAAGAAAUGAAAUCUUGUUAUGGUUCCCAGGCUGGAGUCGAACUCCUGGCCUUAAAUGAUUCUUCCACUUCGGCCUUCUGUGUAGCUGGUAUUGUAGGCAUGCACCACCAUGCUUGACUUUCAAAUCUCAUUACUUAAGAAAGAUAUUUUGUAAGGCUAUAGCUGCCAUAGCUAGUGAUUCCUCUGAUGAAUUUGGGCAAAGUAAGUUGAAAACCUUCUGAAAAUAAUUUACCAUUCUAGAUGCCAUUUGUGAUUCAUGGGAGGAGGUCAAAAUAUUAACAUUGACAGGAGUUUGGAAGAAGUUGAUUCCAACCUUUAUGGAUGACUUUGUGGGGUUCAAGAUUUCAGCAGACAAAGUAACUGCAGAUGUGGAAAUAGCAAGAGAACCAAAAUUAGAAGAGAAGCCUGAAGAUAUGACUGAAUUGCUACAAUUUCAUGAUAAACUUUAAUGGAUGAUGAGUUGCUUUCUAUGGAUGAGCAAAGAAAGUGGUUUCUUGAGAUGGAAUCUACUCCUGGUGAAGAUGCUAUAAACAUUGUUGAAGUGAUAACAAACAAUUAAGAAUAUUCGAUAAACUUCAUUGAUAAAGCAGUGGCAGGGUUUGAGAGGAUUUACUCCAAUAUUGAAAGAAUUUCUAUUGCGGGUCAAAUGCUAUCAAGCACUAUCACUUGCUACAGAGGAAUCUUUCAUUAAAGGAAGAGUUAAUUGAUAAAGCAAACUUUAUUGUUGGCUUAUUUUCAGAAAUUGCCACAGCCACCCCAACCUUCAGCAACUAUCACCCUGAUCAGUGAGCAACCAUCAGCAUUGAAGCAAGACCCUCCACCAGCUAAAAGAUUAUGACUCGCUGCAGGCUAAGGUGAUCAUUAGCAAUUUUUAGCAAGAAAGUAUUUUUAAAUUAAGGUAUCUACAUUGUAUUUUUGUUGGAAUGCUAUUGCACAUUUAAUAGACUACAGUAUAAGGUACAUAUAAAUUUCAUAUGCACUGGAAAAACAAAAAAGUCGGUAUGAUCUCUCUACUGUGAUAUUGUCUUUAUUGUGGUGAUCUGAAACCAAGCCUGCAAUAUAUUUGAGGUAUGCCUGCCUUGUUUAUGUUAGAACGUUCAUAGAUAUAUCAGGCCUAACUUAGCAUCACAACUAGAACUCAGUAUUGUAAAUGGUUUACGUCAUUUCCACAUUUAGUGGAGACUUAAGCAUUCAUCCAGAUCAUAAAUUUUUUUCUCCCUCCUUUUUUUUUUUUGGUAUGUUUACAGUCUGGAAGGUAUUGAAAUAUCUAAAGAAUAAUGAAAAACUAGAAUUGGGUGAGGCCAACACUCUCAUGGUCAUUUCUUUCCUGUGUUAUUACUUUCUGUGAUACCAUCCAGCACAAAAUAGUAUUUAUCUAUUUUUAAUGACAUCCAGGGGAUAAGAUUCCUCUUGGCCACUUGGACCAAUGCUUAGGAGACUUCUCUGAAAAGAAGUAUUUCAUAUGUAGCGUGAAUCAUUUGUGUUGCUCUUUGAGUUCUUGUGAAUAAAUUCGGAAUUAGUUGAGCACCUGCUAUGUGCAGUACCCAGGGUGAGGGCCAUGAAAGGCAAAACAAUAUUUACAAAGUGUCUCUAUCCUUAUUAAAUAUAAGUAAGAAGGAAAAUAUAUAAAUAUUCAAGUAGUUAAUUAAAAUACAAGGAAUAUGAUAAAUAUUAAUUUGUUAACAAAGAAAAUAAGUGCAAUAUGAGACUCUAGAAACCAUAGACAACUGUGAGAUGGGGCGAUUAGGGAAAACUUCAAAGAGAACAUAACACUUACAUUGAACCUGGAAUUAUGGUUAGGGUUUGGGCUGAAAGAGAAAAAAUGAGAGUACACUCAAAGUGAAGAAAAUUGGGCAACAGUGCUGUGUGAUAGCAAAUCUCUACAUUGUGCUCAAAAACAAAGGGCAGACAACACCAAUGUGGCAGAGGAUUUGAGUGGGCAUGCACCAGGGCCUAAGACAGGAAAGGCAGGAUGGGCAAGGCUUAUGAGAGGCAAUAAAUGCAGGUUAGGUUGUUUUGAGUAUUACUAGGAAAUCACUGGGUGUGGUUAAGGGGAAAAGUAACAUGGUGUAAGUAUUUUAUGAAAAUUAAUCUGGCUAUAAAGUACUGCCUGGUUUGGAAAGGAGAAGAUUCCUUUUAUGUUGCCUUUAGUAUGUCCAGAGAAGGAUUUGAAUAAAGCAGAGCUAUAUGAGAAUAAAAGAAUAAGUACAUUUACUAUAGUUUACUUUUAUAAAGCAGAUAAGGUAAUGCUAAUAUUAUUAAUUGUAUUAUUAAGUAAUUACAUUAAUUGUAAUAUUUAGUGAGAAUGUUAAAUGUUGUCGAGUAUCCGUGAAUUUUUACCUAAAAAAUUUAUGUGGCCCUAGUUAUGAUAUUUUAGUAAUCAUACAGUUAUAUCUUCUAACAGCCUAGUAGUCAAUCUGGAUGAACCGUACUGGGUACCCAGGAGAAAGCACACAGAAUUUAAAAGUCUGUCAUUGACUUGAAUUUAUUAGCUCUUCUUUGUUCAUAAGAAAUGGAAACAUUCUAUAAAAACCUAUUUUUUAUUAAUAAAAAUUAAUAAUGCCUCUGUAGAGGCAUUUAACUCUACGUUUCACUCUGGCUAUGGGCUUAUUUCAACUUUCUUUAUAAUAAAGUGGAGGUACAUCUUUAUCUUUUUUUGUGUGAAAGAUUUAUGUAACUCAGGCACCAAAAUAUCUAGAGCACCUGCAUGACUAGAAACUUUAUAGUGCUAAUUGGCAAUAUGGUACACAGCCAGAUAAGCACAUCAGAUGAAACUCUUAAAAACAAAUAUUGAGGCUGGCAAGAUGGCCAAAUAGGAACAGCUUCAGUCUGCAGCUCCCAGCAAGAUCAACUAAGAAGGUGGGUGGUAUUUGCAUUUCCAACUGAGGUACCUGGUUCAUCUCAUUGGGACUGGUUAGGCAGUGGGUGCAGCCCACGGAGGGUGAACUGAAGCAAGGUGGGGUGUCGCCUCACCUGGGAAGUGUAAGGGGUCAGGGAACUCUCUCCUCUAGCCAAGGGAAGCCUUGAGAGACUGUGCUGUGAGGAAUAAUGCAUUCCAGCCCAGAUACUAUGCCUUUCCCAUGGUCUUUGCAACCCGCAGACCAGGAGAUUCCUUGAGGUGCCUACACCACCAGAGCCCUGGGUUUCAAGCACAGAACUGGGCAGUCGUUUGGGCAGACACUGAACUAGCUGCAAAAGUUUUUUCCAUACCCCAGUAGUGCCUGGAAUACCAGUGAGACAGAACCGCCCGCUCCCCUGGAAAGGGGGCUGAAGCCAGAGAACCAAGUGGUCUAGCUCAGCGGAUCCCACCCCCACAGAGCCCAGCAAGCUAAGAUCCACUGGCUUGAAAUUCUUGCUGCCAGCACAACAGUCUGAAGUCAACCUGGGACACUCAAGCUUGGUGAGGGGAGGAGCAUCCACCAUUACUGAGGCUUGAAUAGGUGAUUUUCCCCUCAAAAUGCUGCUGGGAAGUUAAAACUGGGCGGAGCCUACCACAGCUUGGCAAAGCCACUGUGGCCAGACUUCCUUUCUAGAUUCCUCCUCUCUGGGAAGGGCAUCUCUGAAAGAAAGGCAGCAGCCCCAGUCAGGGGCUUAUAGAUAAAACUCCCAUCUCCCUGGGACAGAGCACCUGGGGGAAGGGGUGGCUGUGGGCACAGCUUCAGCCAACUUAAACGGUCCUGCCUGCCGGCCCUGAAGAGAGCAGUGGAUCUCCCAGCACAGUGCUCCAGCUCUGCUAAGGGACGGGGUGUCUCCUCAAGUGAGUCCCUAACUCCUGUGACUCCUGACUGGGAGACACCUCUCAGCAAGAGUCGACAGACACUUCACACAGGAGAGCUCCAGCUGGCAUCUGGCAGGUGCCCCUCUGGGAUGAAGCUUCCAGAGAAAGGAACAGGCAGCAAUCUUUGCUGUUCUGCAGCCUCUGCCGGUGAUAUCCAGGGAAACAGGGUCCGAAGUGGACCUCCAGCAAACUCCAGCAGACCUGCAUAACAGGGUAGAAUGGCGAUAACUAAAAAGUCAGGAAACAACAGGUGCUGGAGAGGAUGUGGAGAAAUAGGAACACUUUUACACUGUUGGUUGGACUGUAAACUAGUUCAACCAUUGUAGAAGACAGUGUGGUGAUUCCUCAAGGAUCUAGAACAUAGAAAUGCCAUUUGACCCAACCAUCCCAUUACUGGGUAUAUACCCAAAGGAUUAUAAAUCAUGCUACUAUAAAGACACAUGCACAUGUACGUUUAUUGCGGCACUAUUCACAAUAGCAAAGACUUGGAACCAACCCAAAUGUCCAUCAAUGAUAGACUGGAUUAAGAAAAUGUUGCACAUAUACACCAUGGAAUACUAUGCAGCCAUAAAAAAGGAUGAGUUCUUGUACUUUGUAGGGACAUGGAUGAAGCUGGAAACCAUCAUUCUCAGCAAACUAUCGCAAGGACAAAAAACCAAACACCACAGGUUCUCUCACUCAUAGGUGGGAAUUGAAAAAUGACAACACAUGGACACAGGAAGGGGAACAUCACAC
This 34593-nucleotide long non-coding RNA is filed under the name Homo sapiens (human). RNAcentral describes it as "non-protein coding UFL1-AS1:3". The stretch from base 30546 to 30611 matches the Rfam family "mir-1255 microRNA precursor family". The record is from RNAcentral. Lineage: Eukaryota; Metazoa; Chordata; Mammalia; Primates; Hominidae.